UCCCAGACUCCUACGGGAGGCAGCAGUGGGGGAUAUUGCACAAUGGGGGGAACCCUGAUGCAGCGACGCCGCGUGGGUGAAGGAGCGUUUCGGCGCGUAAAGCCCUAUCGGCAGGGAAGAAGGAGGACGGUACCUGACUAAGAAGCCCCGGCUAACUACGUGCCAGCAGCCGCGGUAAUACGUAGGGGGCAAGCGUUAUCCGGAUUUACUGGGUGUAAAGGGGGCGCAGACGGCAGCGCAAGGCAGGAGUGAAAGCCCGGGGCCCAGCCCCGGGACUGCUCUUGGAACUGCGCGGCUGGAGUGCAGGAGGGGCAGGCGGAAUUCCUGGCGUAGCGGUGAAAUGCGUAGAUAUUAGGAAGAACACCAGUGGCGAAGGCGGCUUUCUGGACUGAAACUGACGCUGAGGCGCGAAAGCGUGGGGAGCGAACAGGAUUAGAUACCCCCGUA
This 447-nucleotide ribosomal RNA is filed under the name uncultured bacterium. RNAcentral's name for it is "bacterial SSU rRNA". It matches the Rfam family "Bacterial small subunit ribosomal RNA", at positions 329 to 792 of the family's 1533-position model. The record is from RNAcentral.